AGCAAGCCUCCGAGUGGACUGGGCCAAGACCCUAAAGCCAAAAGAAACAUCUUUAAGCCGCAGAAUAUCUGACCAAUAAUGAUCCGGCUAAAAGCGAUCAACGAACCAAGUUACCCUAGGGAUAACAGCGCAAUCCUCUCCCAGAGCCCAUAUCGACGAGGGGGUUUACGACCUCGAUGUUGGAUCAGGACAUCCUGAUGGUCGAGCCGCUAUUAAGGGUUCGUUUGUUCAACGAUUAAAGUCC
RNAcentral lists this ribosomal RNA (244 nucleotides) under Macrhybopsis storeriana (silver chub). RNAcentral describes it as "partial 16S ribosomal RNA". It matches the Rfam family "Bacterial large subunit ribosomal RNA", at positions 2333 to 2596 of the family's 2925-position model. Lineage: Eukaryota; Metazoa; Chordata; Actinopteri; Cypriniformes; Leuciscidae. The record is from RNAcentral.